CCUACGGGAGGCAGCAGUGGGGAAUAUUGCACAAUGGGGGAAACCCUGAUGCAGCAACGCCGCGUGAAGGAAGACGGUUUUCGGAUUGUAAACCUCUAUCAAUAGGGAAGAAAGAAAUGACGGUACCUAUAUAAGAAGCCCCGGCUAACUACGUGCCAGCAGCAGCGGUAAUACGUAGGGGGCAAGCGUUAUCCGGAAUUACUCGGUGUAAAGGGAGAGUAGGCGGCAAGGUAAGCGAUAUGUGAAAGCCUUAAGCUUAACUAAAGGAUUGUAUAACGAACUAGCUAGCUAGAGUACAGGAGAGGAAAGCGGAAUUCCUAGUGUAGCGGUGAAAUGCGUAGAUAUUAGGAAGAACACCAGUGGCGAAGGCGGCUUUCGGGACUGAAACUGACGCUGAGGCUCGAAAGCGUGGGGAGCGAACAGGAUUAGAUACCCUUGUAGUC
RNAcentral lists this ribosomal RNA (443 nucleotides) under uncultured bacterium. RNAcentral describes it as "partial 16S ribosomal RNA". It matches the Rfam family "Bacterial small subunit ribosomal RNA", at positions 338 to 795 of the family's 1533-position model. The record is from RNAcentral.